AUGGAGACACUAGGGCUCUUGCUCUGCAGUACUGGGCCCACGCAUCAGGCAGGACACACGUUAGACCUGAUCUUCAGCACAGGAAUUCAAGUGACCCAAGCCUCUAUUUUAGAGGUUCCAUGGUCGGAUCACUGUGCCCUGAGAGUCAGGCUGGAGCAUGCCUACCUACCUGGCAAGGGCGCCGAGCCGAUUUGGGUUCGCCCAAGAAGACUUAUGGAACCUAGUAGGUUCCAGAAUGCUCUGAAGGAUCUGGAGCCUGUCAGCGACUCGAUCGAUGUGCAGGUGGACACAUGGAACAUCAGUCUAUCCAAUGCACUCGACGAGAUCGCCCCUAGACGCCCUCUCCAACCCCGCCGAAAUCGGUCUCCUUGGUUCACCGAGGAACUUCGAUCGAUGAAGCGGGAAAAGAGACGGCUAGAGGUCGUGUGGCGAGAACUUCAUGACAGAGCUUCGAGAUCAGCUUACAGGGCAUUUAUGGAGUCCUAUGAGCAUGCUAUCAUCGAAGCAAAGCAAGUAUAUUAUGCCUCUUUGAUAGCAUCCACCAGCUCACGCCCGGCAAAAUUGUUCAAAAUAAUUAGAUCUUUAACGACGGUUCCUACCAACCCAAAAAGUGAUGAUCAGACCCCUUCAGCCGAGGCUUUUCAAAGCUAUUUUGCUGACAAGAUCUCACUACUACGCCGGGACCUCCCCGCCACAAUUGAUACAAGGAGAGAACUUGAGACUCCAUGGCCACUCGCUGGGCCCACCCUCGACCGGUUCAUCCCACUGGACACAGAGGCUCUCGAUAGGCUCAUAGUUGCAGCUAGACCGACCACUUGCUCCCUCGAUCCGUGUCCCUCCUGGUUGGUAAAAUCCUACUUGGAGGGAUUACAUGAUCCUCUGUUGAAGAUAAUAAACAGCUCCCUUGAGCAAGGAGUCUUUCCAGAGGGUUUAAAAGAGACGGUGGUCUCUCCCCUGCUGAAGAAACCAGAUUUAGAUCGUUCGGUUCCCUCCAGCUAUCGCCCAGUUUCGAACCUCUCGUUCCUGGGCAAGGUGAUUGAGAGGGCAGUAGCGGAGCAGUUGCAACAGUUCCUAGACAACACAGCCGGAUUAGAUCCCUUCCAGUCCGGCUUUCGUGCGGGACAUGGGACAGAGACUGUGCUGGUCUCCAUCACGGAUCACCUUCGAUGCCAGCUUGAUCAGGGCGGGUCGGUGCUGCUCGUGUUAUUGGACCUCACUGCAGCAUUUGACAUAGUCGAUCAUAAUCUUUUGACCCACCGCCUUGCCAUUGCUGGAGUCAGGGGGACAGCUUUAAAUUGGCUGGCCUCCUUUCUUCACAACCGUGGACAGCGAGUGGAGAGGGGAGGCCUGGUCUCUGAAAGGUCCCCUCUACUUUGUGGGGUGCCUCAAGGGGCCAUUCUCUCCCCUCUGUUGUUUAACAUCUAUAUGCGACCACUUGUUCAGCUGGUUUGA
Molecule: long non-coding RNA, 1452 nt
Filed under: Anolis carolinensis (green anole)
Lineage: Eukaryota; Metazoa; Chordata; Lepidosauria; Squamata; Anolidae
Description: lncRNA (ENSACAG00000035708.1)
Source: RNAcentral